AGCAGCCGCGGUAAUUCCAGCUCCAAUAGCGUAUAUUAAAGUUGUUGCAGUUAAAAAGCUCGUAGUUGAAUUUCGGAAUCAAUAUAUCGGUCGUGCCUUGGUACGUACUGGUAUCAUUGGUUUCUCCUUUCUGACGAACCAUGAUGUCAUUAAUUUGGUGUUAUGGGAAGUUAGGACUGUUACUUUGAAAAAAUUAGAGUGUUUAAAGCAGGCUUUAGCUUGAAUACAUUAGCAUGGAAUAAUGAAAUAGGACGUUCGAACCUAUUUUGUGGUUUCUAGGAUCAACGUAAUGAUUAAUAGGGAUAGUUGGGGGCAUUAGUAUUCAAUUGUCAGAGGUGAAAUUCUUGGAUUUAUUGAAGACUAACUACUGCGAAAGCAUUUGCCAAGGAUGUUUUCAUUAAUCAAGAACGAAAGUUAGGGGAUCGAAGACGAUCAGAUACCGUCGUAGUCUUAACCAUAAACUAUGCCGACUAGGGAUCGGAUGAUGUUAAUUUUUAAUGACUCAUUCGGCGCCUUACGG
This 520-nucleotide ribosomal RNA is filed under the name uncultured Glomus. RNAcentral describes it as "SSU rRNA". It matches the Rfam family "Eukaryotic small subunit ribosomal RNA", at positions 569 to 1093 of the family's 1831-position model. The record is from RNAcentral. Lineage: Eukaryota; Fungi; Glomeromycota; Glomeromycetes; Glomerales; Glomeraceae.